This 450-nucleotide ribosomal RNA is filed under the name uncultured Paraglomus. Its description in RNAcentral is "bacterial SSU rRNA". It matches the Rfam family "Eukaryotic small subunit ribosomal RNA", at positions 569 to 1021 of the family's 1831-position model. Lineage: Eukaryota; Fungi; Glomeromycota; Glomeromycetes; Paraglomerales; Paraglomeraceae. The record is from RNAcentral.
AGCAGCCGCGGUAAUUCCAGCUCCAAUAGCGUAUAUUAAAGUUGUUGCAGUUAAAAAGCUCGUAGUUGAACCUUAGGCCCGUGCGGGCGGUCCGUCCUCAGGGCGAGCACUGCCUCGUCGCGGGUCUCACCUUCUGGCGAGCGUGGAUGCCAUUUAUUUGGUGUCCGCGGGAACCAGGACCUUUACCUUGAAAAAUUAGAGUGCUCAAAGCGGGCUCCGACGCUUGAAUACAUUAGCAUGGAAUAAUGAAAUAGGACGAUGGUUCUAUUUUGUUGGUUUCCGGGACCGUCGUAAUGAUUAAUAGGGAUAGUUGGGGGCAUUCGUAUUCAAUUGUCAGAGGUGAAAUUCUUGGAUUUAUUGAAGACGAACUACUGCGAAAGCAUUUGCCAAGGAUGUUUUCAUUAAUCAAGAACGAAAGUUGGGGGAUCGAAGACGAUCAGAUACCAUCGU